AAAGGAGGAAGCAGAAGAGCGGGGUGGAAACAAGCAGGACGGUGUUUUUCAAUGGUGGAGCUGGUCCAUGCCAGCUGUACGCCUGUGCAAAGCAGGAGGCUGCAGGCUGGAGUCCCGUCACAUCAGCCUCACGGCCUCCGAGCUCCUCCCCUCCCUCUCCUGGAUCCCACCUCUUUGCUCAUGUGGCCACUGACAGCCCAACAACAUUCCUUGUGAUUUCUAACCAUAAUUAUCACUUCUCAUGCGUGAAUGCCGAACAAGAUGCAGCGACCAGGAAGAUGAGAAAACGCGCUUCCAUUUUCCAGAAAAUCAAGUUCAGACGGAGAACUGAGUCAAACCAGUACAGAGACACCUUUCGACCUUUGUGAUUCCUCAGACCUACCCUUACUACACUGGCAUGCAGAGAUACGUCAGAGGAAAGGGAGUUUAAAACGAGGAGCAAGCAAGCUAGGUCUCGCUUUCAUUCAUACACACAGCAGCACUUUGAGAAGCCCGUGCGACCCCCAUCCCCUGGGGUGACUCUGUCUGAACCGACCCAGCGGAGCUCUCCAUGAGCCUCAGGGCUCGCACCUCCGAAGCCCCCCCCUGGACUUGCUCGGCGACGUGGAGCAGAAAACGCACUCGUGUGGAGAGGCAUGUGACAGAAGCAGCUGACCCCGAGGACGCUGCAAGCGCUUGACAGGUCACACACGACGAGCCGAACCGCCGGGCACACCGAGCACCCACCAGGCCGGGUGGGCGGUGGGGCCGCCGGGAUCCGCACCCCGCGCCAGACCCGCCUCCCGCAAACCAACCGCCAGGGCAACUCCAACGGCUCCUCUUUUGUUUUUGAACUCACACUCCACUCACCCAGCCCCGCUCUUCCCCUCCCUCCCGCCCCCGAGCAAGGCGGCGAUCCCCCCACGGCCUUCCCCGCCCACAAACAACCGCCGGGCCUCGGCCUCCCGCCCCCGCCGUGCCCCAGCCGGCCCCGGCUGCCAGGCAGCUCCCGCCACCGGCACAGCGAGACCCCGCACCCGGACCCGCACCUCGGCCGGGAACGGGACCGCAGGUCCUACCGCGGGGAACGUCCCAGCUCGGCUCCCACGGGAGGAGGCGAGACACGAGGCUGCUCCCGCCCACGGGCGAGCCGGGCCCGGCCCCGGGAGCCUCCGCCGCCGCCCCCUCCCCGCGGAGCCGGCUGGGCAUCCCCCGCCAGAAGGAAUCGGGGUGAGGGGGGGGGAGGGAGGACCAGCACACCCACCUCCUCCAUGAGCCCCGCGCUGGCCGCCGCGCCGAGCCCGCCGGGCCGCCUGUGACGGGCCAGACGGCGGCCCCGCGUCGCGCCGCGGGGAACGGCUGCGCCUCCCGACAGCGGCAGCAACAGGGCCUCGCUCUGGGCCGGACUUUGCCCGCGACAACUUCCGGGGCACGGCAAAAACGCUUUCCGGGGGCAGCGGCCGUUGAACGGUGAGGGGGGUGGCGACCGCCCCGUCACCCGUCCUGUCACCUGGUCCGGCCCCAGCCUGUUACCCGCCCGGCGGGGUCAACCGGCAGGGCUUCUCCCGGCAAACGGCGGGCAGUAAAGAGCGCGGCCCAGAGCGGUGCAGGGAGGCGGCCACGAAGCGGGUCUUACUGGUUUCUCAGGAAGGCGGUCAGCAUCCCGUGGUACCCAAACAGCAGCAGAGGUCAGAACUGCUGAACUGCUGGUGACUGGGGAGUGAUGCCCAUGCAGGGUAACACACAGUGGGCUGAGCCGACUCAAGGGUCACUGAUUUCUCCGUUUCAGGAGGAGGUGAGUCCCUGCUCCGUGCCCCAGCUGUAGCCUCCGGUCUGCCCAGCUGCGGCCAUUCCCGCGAUGGACCAAGGAACUCCUCCACGGAGCUGCAGCCAGACCCUGCUUGCAAACCGCUCUCCCGAGCGCCCCCUCCCAUGGCAUCCAGCGUGUGCCAGGGCUCCUGGUGGACAAGAAGAUGGCAAAUGGCCUCAAUUUGCACCAGGGGAGGUUCAGAGUGGAUAUCAGGAAAAAUUUAUUCCUGGAAAGGGUUGUCAGGCAUUGGAACAGGCUGCCCAGGAAGUGUAGGAGUCACCAUCCCUGGAGGUGUUUAAAAGGUGUUUAGAUGAGGUUCCUAGGGACAUGGUUUAGUGCCAGAGUUAGGUUAUGGUUGGACUUGAUGACCUUGAGGGUGUCUUCCAACCAAAAUGAUUCUAUGAAUCUAUGAAUACCAUGCCUAACCCACUCCUGGGAAGCAAAAGUUCCCUAUCUCUUUCUUUGCAUGAACUAGAUCUCACGUGACAGUGCUGCUCAGCCCUGCAGUAUUAUAGCUCUUCUUGUUAAAAUGAAGCAAGUUGGCAACACUGGCAUGUGGGCCAGUCUUUUGCAAGUUCUCACUGUCUUCAAAGAAAAAUUAAAUCUCCUGAGGUUAAUGUAAUUGCUAAUUAAAUUAACCUCUUUACUCCGUAAACAUUAACAAAGACAAAAAGAAGAAUGAUGCCAUUCCUGCUGUACAGAAACCUUUUCCUCCCAUGUGUGAUGACUGCCCUGCAGAUCUCCCUUUGGAAAGGGGGAAUGAUGGGCUUGAAUGUUGCUCUGCUGUGUAUUUUAAAGACAGAGCUGUAACCAGCUAAUCUAUUUGCAACUGGGAGAUGAGAGGGCAGCCCACCACAGCAGCACCUCGAGAGACUGUGCUCACCUCAGCAGGGGCUAUUGCACAUCUGCUUGGCCCUCGGGAUCCUGCCACCAUUGCACCACCAGCAGCUGUUGGUCUGUAGGAUCCAUGAUUCUGAUACAGAAAAUAAAAAAAUAUGACUGUAUAGAGAAUGCCCGUGCUAGAGGGGGUGGUCCUUUUAUUCUUUAAUCCAACCAAAUAUGAAAAACACAUGCAAUGUGUCUUAACUUCAAAAAUGCCCUUGGAAAACACAACACAGGUUUUCUACUUUUGGAAAUAAAUUCCAUUAUGUCUUCUCUGGAGACAUUCAAAACCCGCCCGGACUCCUUCCUGUGUAGCCUCAUCUCGGUGUUCCUGCUCUGGUGGGGGGAUUGGACUAGAUGAUCUUUUGAGGUCCCUUCCAAUCCCUGACAUUCUGUGAUUCUGUACAUUGCUCUCUAUAUACAGAAGUACAAAUCAAGCCCAACAUGUAUUUCCACAAAAACAAGAGAGGAAAAUACAACCAUGGCCAGUUUAUGCAGUGGUUCUGACUGUAUUUAAUCAAUGCUGGCCUCUGCCUGGACAGAAAUGAAGUGCAAGCAAGAUUUCAGAGGAAACUUUGGAAACCAGCGCAGUGCUGGGGCCCUCCCACUGCCGUUACUGCCCUAAGGGUGAAAGCGCAGACACGGGGAAUGGCCAAAAAAAAUAAUUCCUUCCAAAGAUAACCAAGUUUCUUUGCUGGCUCCUGCAGGUUUGAGUGCAUGUCAGGGGCCAUGGGCUGGCGGGUGGGCUGUGGCAGGCAGGGUGUCCUCUGCAGCAGCAGCUCCUGCUGCGCUUUGAAGCUGUUGACAGCCAGAGCGGGUAGAGCUGCUCUCACGGGCAGCCCCAAGGGUGUUUUUGGCAGCCUCCAUAGAUGUAUCCAAACAGACCCGCUCACCUCGCUCCUGCCACCAGGCUCGCGCCUGUGGAGCUUCUUGCUGCACAAAUACCUGGUUUUGGUGAGGGGCCUCAGGGCUUUGCCCUUCCCUUCUUAUGACUUGCCUGCCCUGUUUUGUCCUAUGGACACGCCACUAUAUCUGCAGCAGGAAGGAGAAGGGACGGGGACUGUGAUUCUCAUCUGAAACGCGAGUGUUGGCCAACGUGGAUGCUGUUGUGGCUUAAUGUGAGCUGGCAAUACAACCACGAUAGCUGCUCGCUCGCCUCCCUCCUCGCCCCCCAAAUAGGGGAGAAAAUCAAAAGGGAGAAACUUGGAUUGAGACAAACAGUUCAAUAAAACGAGAAAAUUCUAAUAUGCUACUAGUAAAUAUAUAUAUAUAUAUAUAUAAAAGAGAAAUAAAAGAUACUCAGGCAAUUCCUCACGAACUCCAUCCACACUGAGCAGCCAGUCCCAGGAAGCAGCAGCAGCACCUGGUCCCAAACAGCUGAUCCCAGAGAGAGAAAAGACAAAAAAGGCAGAAAGGCCCAGAGGCCUCUGCAAAAUGGCAAAAGGCCGAACUAAUGAAAGUCCUGAACAGAACUCCCCCAGCUUCAACAAAAAGAACCAAGAUAGUGAUGAAGACAAAAGAGACCAGAAUAUCCCCCCGCCUCCUUAAAUAUGAAGCAUGCUGCUAGUGGGCUGGAAUAGUCAUAUUGAUCAGUCUGGACAUCAGUCAAGCUCUGCCCCAUCUCUGCUCCCCUUCCUUGCUGCCUCACACCUGUGGGCAGAACGCUCAGAGUGUCCCUGGCUCUCAGACCAGAGCAAUUAAAAACAUGAGCUCUGUGCUGGGGUGUUAUCUCUUGUUGUCAAACUAAGUCCAAAUAAUGAUCACGCUAGCUAUGAAAAACAAAGGUUUCUAACUGCAUGAAGAAAAUUAACCCAUUUUCAGUCAAACCAGCACAGAUGCCCAUGGCCAACACAUGGAUUGUUCCCAAGACCCGCAAUCAGAGCCCAUGAAUACUUCUCUCCGAAGGACAGCAGUUUAGCAAGAGCCUGUUGCCACCGCUCAUUCCUCCGUGUCCCCAGGUCCCCCGGCAGUACCUGUCCUCCACUCCCACUCCAGUUUGCUCCACAGCUUCACCUGCUUUCCCCGCUCCAGCAGUGCGGCCACCAUAGGCAGAUGACCAGCAGGACAAGGAACUGCAGCAAGGAAAAGCAACGCAGUCAGGAACUGGGGAGGUGUGAUGAGACAGGCUGCUUCUGGGAGAAGCUUCCUGGUGACCAGAGAAUCACAGAACGUUAGGGAUUGGAAGGGACCUCAAAAGAUCAUCUAGUCCAAUCCCCCCACCAGAGCAGGAACACUUAGAUGAGGUUACACAGGAAUGUGUCCAGGCGGGUUUUGAAUGUCUCCAGAGUAGGAGACUCCACAACCCCCCUGGGCAGCCUGUUCCAGUGCUCUGGCACCCUCACCGAGAAGUUUCUUCUCAUACUUAAGUGGCACCUCCUGUGUUCAGUUUGAACCCAUUGGUCAGCUCAGACUGUGGAAGAGUGGCAGGGCUAGAGAGGGUGAAAAGUUGCAGACAGUGACAGCAAGUCUGUGUCAGCAGAGAUGGACUAAGCCGAUGGGAUCCUGACUUCUAAACUCCGGCAUUCAGGUGCUCAUUUUAACAAAGCAUGUUAAAAUGGAAGUUCCUGCCCCAUGUGCCCCCUGGAAGUCACAAGAGCAGACUUGGAGAAUCCCAGGCUGUGUCCCUAAAGGUUAUUUGAUCCAAGACGUUUCAUAGCUGCUGACAGCUGACACCUCUCAUGGACCUUCCCUGGAGCAGCCAGGGGUAGAAGACAAAAUGUGAGGAUUAGUCAAGACUUCAUGGUGCAUACAGCCUCUUAAUACUGAAACCACAGCUCUCCUGCACUUAUCUCAUCUCUUAACCUUCUCCCACUCCCUUUUGGUUCCUCUGCUUUGUAGCAACCAGAAACGCAGCCUCUUCAGUACAUGGGCAUUUUCCAAUACUUGAAGCAUCACUCCAAAAUUGUACAUAUAUGAUGUGGAAAGCCACAGCCAAAGUAACAUCACCUCAGAAUUUUGUUUAAACUCUCUCACAAUACCUACCAAAGGGGGAUUUGGCUAUCUAAACUCUGCUACUCAGAUUAUUAUAAAAUUAUUAUCAAAGUCCUGGUCUUAAUGCAGUUACUGCUCAUCAUGAAUCUACCACCAUUAACAACCUAACAGAAGCAGCCUGGAGAAACGGGCAUUGGACACAUGGUCCGCACCGACUGAAAUUGAGGAAAUCACCUAAAUGGAGCAGUUUUCAAAGCAGCCACUUUCAGAGUCACAAGUAAGUUGUGGCAUAUGGCCGGCUAUGGGGGGAAACCUUCUUAGGAACAAAGCGGAAUGAAAAAAUCUGCGCAAUGAGAUGACGUGGGAAGGACUGGAAAUGGCUCUUGCCUACAGCAAAGGGCUGGGAGUGCCAUGAAGGAUACAGGUGCUGAACCCACUUCUACCAGCCUAUUUUGGGGGGCUGCUGCCCCUGUGACGUAACUGUUGAGCCCAGCCUCUGCCCAGGCAUGUGGUUUAGGUGAAGCUUUAUCAUAUGCAGCUGUUGUGAAAGAAACGGUGCCCAGGCAGCUCCUCACAGACUCGAGUCCCUCACCCGUUUUACAGCUCCCUCAGACAGCACACAGGCACUGUUUUGAUAAAUAAAGAACAACUCCCAACUCCAGACUCCCAGCAAAAUGACCAGGUGCCUUAGCAUCCUUACCUAGGUCAAGUCAAGUCCAAGAUUUAAUUCCAGAAUUUGUGCUUUUAAAUUUUUCAAUUUUUAUCAACUUGAAAAGAGGUGGGAACAGUUUUAUUCAUCAGAGUGUCACAUACAGUCUCACAAGAGCUGCCCUCACACGUGUGUCGUGUAAGAUGUUCCCCAAGCUUCUUCCAGUCCUGGAAAGGAUCAACCCAAGUGGGUGCUGAGGCCACCAGCUCCAAGGACCAGGCGCAGCUGGAGGCAGCACAGACCUGGCUCCAGCGAUGACACCAAACCAAUCUCUCUCAUGUUGGCCCCCAUGGUUUUAACAGACUAUUAAUUUAAUUGUUGUUUUGGUUUUGGCAGCUUGCCAGUUUUCUAAAUAAAGAUGUGAAUUUAUAUAAACUUUCCCUUCUUCAGUAAUGCACCCAAGCCCCACACAGUGAAAAAUCUGAGAUAGUUUGUGCUGUCAUUAUAACAAAAAAAAAAUGGCGAGGGAGGUGGUAAUGUAGAGGGGUUAAGAGUUUUAUUUCUAAAUAAAUUUGAGCAAAACGCAUAAAAUUAUUGUUUUCUUUUUAUUUCCCAAAUAGCUUCACUGAAUGGAACAGUCAGGAGAGAACCUAAAAUGAGGAGGGCACAGUAGGGAUCCCACAUGACAGAAAAAGGAAUCAAAAAUCUGAAGUAUCAGACUGUUCGCUACCACUGUGAAAGAAACACCAACAAACUUGUACUGGACUCCAGCUGAGAUGGAAGGCAGCCAGCAGACAGCUUUAAUCCUUAUGGAGAAUUUUUAUGUACAGGCUUCAUUCCCACAAACAGCCCACUCCUCUCAAAUUAAACGUUUUUAAAGUUCCUUUUAAUGUCAGUUAUAGUGAUCUGUGAGCUCAAAAUAUAGCUUUUGUUGUAGAAUAAAAGGCUAAUCGCUCUCAUCUGGUUAAAUAGCUGCUAAUAAAACAUUGGUCUUCUCUGACCCUUUUCAUUCUAAGUAUUUUAUGUAUUUAAAAAAGGGCCCAGCACACAAUUUAGACAUUAUUUCCAACAGUUUCUUCUGCAGAGCUCUGUUGGCUGUUCCACACCAUUCACCAUUUUCACUACGCUUACGCUGUGGGUCUGUGAGAAAAUGGGAGCUGCGGACCUACAUCUCGCAAAGAUGCCCAGCUAAAGUGAUUCAGGAGAGUGAGAACUACAGAUUUAAUUACACAUAGGCUGCAAUUAACAUUUUGAGGUGGGAGCCCAAGUCCUGUACAGCUCGAUCCAUGAAUAAGGAUUCUGUUUGGGAUGAAUGGUCUCUGUUCUCAUCCCCUCCAACCAACGCGGAUCUGUGACGCAUCCAGGCAGAACCACGUAUUUUUUAAAUGAAGCACAGUCUGUAGAUUGUAAAAGGUGUUGAGGGCAGCUGCCUGUCUGUCAAAAAGAAGUAGAUGGCUAAAUAGGGAAAGGGAACACCAGCGAGCUUUGGAAACUGGUUUUAAGCAUCAUUUUAACCAUUCUGAAAUACAGUAACUCUGCAGAGCUCCCCGAUCCUUCAGAGGCAAAUGCUGCCUGGGAACCCCCCCAUCUUCUGCCGGGUUCUGGAGACGCCGUCAGCUACAGCCAACAUUUUCUGUGCGGACAGCGUCUUCCAGUGUUUUCAGUGUCAAAGGCUUUUUGAGCAUUAAAACAUUUCUUUCACUCCAAGUGUAUUAUAUGGGAAAACAUGCACAGGAAUUUAACAGCAGCGCACUGAAGAGGCAUUCAAAUAAUAUGGAGAAAAUAAGGAAAGAAACAAGGACUUUUUCAUGAGGUGUCAAGGUAAGGACGAGAAAAAUAGAGCUUGUUUAUUUUGUGGGAAAAGGGGAAGAAGCAACUGCCAUCUCCUUAAACUUAGAGCAGUUGGGGAUUAUUACAUCUAGUUCUGUUGACAAAGCCUGUAGCUCAUAAGGAGGUGGAUAUGUGUGAUGCACGACCAACGUAGGGACAUCACAUUAAUGAGGGUCCCAGACAUAUAACAAUGUUACUCAUCUAUCCAAUGCCUCAUUUGUAAAAAAUAAUUAAAAGGGAUAGCAAUCUUCUACCUGCAGCAAAAAGACACUUAUUUCUAUGAAUAAAAAUGCUCUGCAAUAGUUUUUCAUGCCGUCUCUCCAGGAGCACUAAAAGAGGAGAGUAAGAAAGGCAGAGAAUUCUUGAUCACUUUUGAACACCAUACACUCAGUGUCUCAGCAUUAAAAGCAUGGACUAGCAUCUCUGUUUUCUAUAAUAUUAUACAUUAUGUUACGUGACCAAAAGGGAGUUUCUUCUCUGAUUUACUUCCAGCUCAACCUUAACCAGCAAAAGUUCCACCUGUUUGGUUGGCACCAGCCCCCCCUCCCAGCCCAUCACACUCUCAGCUUGCAACACCCUUGAAAAUAAACGUCCUGCCCUCUCCUCGCUGCUGCCUCAAACUCCUCCUGUGCCUUUCCCAAACCCCUCUUUUCACCUCCAGUCUAAGAAAGGAAAUAUCAAUACAUUUUAUUAAUAUAAUAAUAAAAUAAAACAUUAACAUAUUGUUACCUCAUUCUCACUUCGGUUUUUCUCCAUUGCCUCUCUGAAGGCUCCCUCUUCUACAUCUCCCAACAACUUAAUUUUCUAGUACGUGUGGCAGGCUUAUCGUCUCAUCUCCAGCCAUUUACUCACAUUUUUAAGAAUCAAUUGCUUGCUUGUGCACCUUCAAAGAGCUAAAACAGAUAAAUUUUGAUUAUACUGAUACACUUCCUUCCUCUUGCACUCCCAGGUAAACAUCCAUGUCUUACACGGCAAGCUCUCCAGAGCAGCAGCGGCCUUACCUGCUCUCAGAGCAUGAAUGAGCAUCAACUCUUUAAGUUCUUCAGGAUGUUUGGGGUAACCUGUGUUGUUAGUCAAGGUGCAUUCAGAAAUUCAAGCAGGCGUGUUGUGCUUUAACCACCUUAGGAGAUGCCAAAGCCACUGUCAGGGGUGCUGAGUGUGCAGACCACACUCCUUUAACAAAUACGCUAUGCUACCAGGUGGUUAUCUGUGGAAGAACGCAGAUGUUAACUCGGCAAACACAUCUCCCAGUUGACUGCCUUAUUUCCCAGAGUGUGAUGCUACAGGCCCUCAAGAGGACUUGGCUAAUUCCCACAUGUAAGACAGACGCUCUGUCCCCAAAACUAUUGUCAAUGUUUCCUUUCCUGGCAUGUCAUGAUUAGUUAUAGUCCAGCAUUUCAGGAUAAAUUGGGAAUAAAGACAUUCGGGUAUUUGCAUCUGAUUUCCCUGUAAUAAUGUUUGUAAAAAAGGUAUCUUUGUGAUCAUAAGCUACACAUAUAUCCAGGCCUUGCUUUACUCAGCCUGUGCUGCACAAACUUACCUUCCACAUCUUCAGACACUUUGCUCUGUUGACUUUUUUGGAACUUGAUUUGUAUUCUGCUGCUCUCCUCCUUUACAACUUACCAUCUCUCCUGGACCAGCUGCAAAAUGACGAAAAGGUUUGAAAGACAAACCAGGGGAGAGUAAAAAGAUAGAGAACAGGAAUAAUACCCUGAGCAUCUCUUCCCUCCCCAAAUGUAACAGGAGUCAAAAAGGACACUUCUAACUAUUUACUCAAGGUCUGCUUCCCGGCAGGCACUUGGGUGUCUUUUGUUUCCACAGAUUUCAACAACUCAAGCCUGUCCCCAGCCAGCAAUGCUCCUCUGCUGACAAGAAACGAAGCAGGAUGCCGCUUUGCCAAAGCUCAGCAGUGCCUUCAGCCAGGCUGCGCCGAACGGGUGCAGCAGCACGAGGGGAUAUCUUCUCUUUGCACAAAGACACCCUGGGGACAUCGCUGUCCCAUGGCCUGGCUGCACCACGCAUAGCCCAACACCUGCACAAGGUCUCCAGGGCUCCCUCACAGGAACAGCUCCUGCAGUCCACAGAUCGCCCUUCCAUCGCAGCCCCUCAGAGCACAGGAUGGAUGGGAAGGGUCAGCUCUGUUCUGCAGCCAAUCCGCCAGCAUGAAGAGGUGGCAGAGAAGAGGUUCUGCACCCCUUUCCACAUCACUGGGCACUGGAGCAGGGGGAACAAGCAAGGACAACAAUUCAAGGGAUUAUGUUUUCCCCAGAGAGCCUCCAGGAAAGGAAAAACAAACCCAACCAUAUUCAGAAUGUUUACUUUCCUCGUUCUUCUGAAACAGUUUCAAAUCAGACCUUGACAAUCUGGCGCCCUGGUUAGUUAACCUGUGCUUGAAUGCUUCCCCAACAAAUUCAUCCACGCGCUACUGAAUCCUCACUGUGUUUACCUCUGAGUACACAGCCCGUGCUUUUGGGGACAGGAUGCUUUAUAACACAACUCUCUGCCAUUCAGCAACAGGAACUGCUGAACACCCUAACACAGAGGAAAAUUCCAGCAAGGUAUUUUAAAAUAACGAGUUAGCAAUGAUUUUCCCCACGCUCUCCACGCAGAAGGAAGCCUGGAGUCCUCCGAGCCCAACACUCCUUUCAGCACGUCCAAACUUUCACACUGUCAAUGAAGCUGAGCUAUAACCCACGCUCACCUGGCUAAAAACCCAGGUUAACUGUGCAAUUCAGACAUAGUGCAGUAAAUAAUCAGUGGCCAAGUUUGUUUUCCUACCUGUUGCUUGCUAUUUUGAACAAUUAAAAUUUGAACCAUUUAGAGCAAGCAAAUGUUAUUUUUAUCACAGGUUUAGGGCGCGAGUCACAAGAAAUCCAGGUUCAUUUCCUAAUGAGUGAUAUUGUUUCCUCCACACAGACCCAUACAGUCACCCCCCUUCAUUCACUCAAAAAUGUUCAAAUAAAAUCAUGAACGUUGUGAUUUUCCAAGCCAA
Molecule: long non-coding RNA, 11073 nt
Organism: Columba livia (rock pigeon)
Lineage: Eukaryota; Metazoa; Chordata; Aves; Columbiformes; Columbidae
Exons: 4
Source: RefSeq, a predicted model, not a curated record